GACGUAGGGCGCGAGCGUUGUCCGGAUUUAUUGGGCGUAAAGAGCUCGUAGGCGGCUUGUCGCGUCGACCGUGAAAACUUGGGGCUCAACCCUAAGCCUGCGGUCGAUACGGGCAGGCUCGAGUUCGGUAGGGGAGACUGGAAUUCCUGGUGUAGCGGUGAAAUGCGCAGAUAUCAGGAGGAACACCGGUGGCGAAGGCGGGUCUCUGGGCCGAUACUGACACUGAGGAGCGAAAGCGUGGGGAGCGAACAGG
RNAcentral lists this ribosomal RNA (253 nucleotides) under uncultured bacterium. Its description in RNAcentral is "partial 16S ribosomal RNA". It matches the Rfam family "Bacterial small subunit ribosomal RNA", at positions 524 to 776 of the family's 1533-position model. The record is from RNAcentral.